This is a small nucleolar RNA of Molossus molossus (Pallas's mastiff bat), 125 nucleotides long. RefSeq annotates it as small nucleolar RNA SNORA25. The transcript has a single exon. The record is from RefSeq and is a predicted model, not a curated record. NCBI's taxonomy places the organism in Eukaryota, Metazoa, Chordata, Mammalia, Chiroptera, Molossidae.
AGGUCAUUUCAAAGAGAGCUUAUGGGGCCAAAUCCAGGAUCUCUUAAUGCUGAGACCUAAGAUAAAGUUCUCCAUAGGAUGUAUUAGACACUCAGGAGUGCUGUGUUUCCUUAGGAGAUAUAAGG